UCGCUGCUUUUGAGCCCCUGCUAUGCCUGCACCGGGUGCCGGGCGCGGGCCAGGCUGCAGCGCCAGAGCGGGUGCUGGUGCAUAUCUGGGGCCGCCUGCCUCCCAGUGACGGCCAUUUUAACCAGGAGCCACGACC
Sciurus vulgaris (Eurasian red squirrel) is the source of this 136-nucleotide small nucleolar RNA. The record is from Ensembl. NCBI's taxonomy places the organism in Eukaryota, Metazoa, Chordata, Mammalia, Rodentia, Sciuridae.